This 1050-nucleotide unclassified non-coding RNA is filed under the name Hevea brasiliensis (rubber tree). The record is from RNAcentral. Lineage: Eukaryota; Viridiplantae; Streptophyta; Magnoliopsida; Malpighiales; Euphorbiaceae.
AUUAAAAAAAAAAAAAAGAAAUAUGUAUUCCAUACAAAAAUUUUGAUGAAGUGAAGCAUAAACUCAUUAAUUUAGGCUAUAAAAGAUGUAAUUUAAUGCCCUAGAAUACUUUUUGCACAUAUCUUAUGUGAUGUGUCAGCCACUUCUUUAGAUGUGAUUGGUCUGCCAGACAACCAAAGGCAACCUACUGUUACACCUAAUUGAAUAUUUAAAGAAGUGGCCAAGCUCGCAUUUUUAAAAACUGAUUGGAGCAAUUUGGAAGCCAUAUGCAUCAAAGCAUCGCAAAAUAUCAGCUUUGUUGAAAAUCCUCAUUUGUGACAUACAAGUAAAACACUAGAGUGGUCUACCAUGGUAGGAUACACAAAACUCAUAUUGGAAAAUUAAAAUGGCAAACCUUAAUCAAAUUAAGUAUAUAUAUUCAUUUGUUAUUUUCUUUAGUAAUUGCUAGGGCAUGAAACUAAGAAGUGGAUAACAGAAAGAGAAUAGAUAAUGGAUUCAGCAAAGUUGUAAGGCAGAAGAGAAGUAUUUGCUCAUGCACAAGCAUUUGUACAUGUAAUUGGUGACAUCUUUCUCAGCAAAAUCAUGAUGAUGAUGAUGAAUCAUAACAUCAUGUGUAAGAGGCUAGAUGCAUGUGUGGUUGGUUCAUACAGCGUUCACCAUAAAACUAGUUCCAUUUUCAUGAUGACAUAGAUUCUAACUACAGAAGUUUCCACAAAGCCAAUUCCUUUAGCUUGGGAAUGACUUUUGAGCUGAGGUGAGUAGAUGAUAGAGUUAGCAGAUCAUUAAGAUGGUAUGCUACAAGAGCAAGAUGUCAUCAGUCAACCAUAAGUGGUGUGGCUGUGAAUUAUUUAUUAAAAAAUCUAAGAUUUUCUAUCUUUUCCUUCAAUUUUUUCUGUACCCCAGACAUGAGCUCCUAAAGUGGCUAGAAUUACAAAUUUAUAGAAGAGUACUCAAAGUCAAGAUUUUGAAAUAUUUUACUCUGGAAUAGCCUCAACAAGAAUAAUGAUCUUAGACAUGAUUUUUUACCCCUGCAACCCCAGUCCCCAAUCG